GAUGAACGCUGGCGGCGUACCUAAUACAUGCAAGUCGAGCGAACGGACGAGAAGCUUGCUUCUCUGAUGUUAGCGGCGGACGGGUGAGUAACACGUGGAUAACCUACCUAUAAGACUGGGAUAACUUCGGGAAACCGGAGCUAAUACCGGAUAAUAUUUUGAACCGCAUGGUUCAAAAGUGAAAGACGGUCUUGCUGUCACUUAUAGAUGGAUCCGCGCUGCAUUAGCUAGUUGGUAAGGUAACGGCUUACCAAGGCAACGAUGCAUAGCCGACCUGAGAGGGUGAUCGGCCACACUGGAACUGAGACACGGUCCAGACUCCUACGGGAGGCAGCAGUAGGGAAUCUUCCGCAAUGGGCGAAAGCCUGACGGAGCAACGCCGCGUGAGUGAUGAAGGUCUUCGGAUCGUAAAACUCUGUUAUUAGGGAAGAACAUAUGUGUAAGUAACUGUGCACAUCCUGACGGUACCUAAUCAGAAAGCCACGGCUAACUACGUG
RNAcentral lists this ribosomal RNA (497 nucleotides) under uncultured bacterium. Its description in RNAcentral is "partial 16S ribosomal RNA". It matches the Rfam family "Bacterial small subunit ribosomal RNA", at positions 28 to 507 of the family's 1533-position model. The record is from RNAcentral.